This 625-nucleotide long non-coding RNA is filed under the name Physcomitrium patens. RNAcentral describes it as "long non-coding RNA (PPAT_LNC007426)". The record is from RNAcentral. Lineage: Eukaryota; Viridiplantae; Streptophyta; Bryopsida; Funariales; Funariaceae.
AGAAAGAAGAAUAAAAAUUGCGAUAACAAAAUCUUAAAUAGAAUACUAACAAUACUCUAAUUAGACUAUAAUAAUAGUAAACAAACGUAAUCAAAUUCAAAACAACUCAAAAAAAUUUCAAACAAACAAUAAAAUUCUUAAAGAAAUAUUAGAAUGAUCACAAAUUUUACUCAAAUAUAUGUCAAUUCAACCUUAAUUUAAUUCUAGUUAAAAUCCUAUUGAAUUUCACUCAACUUUAGACCAAACCUAAUUAAAUCUUAAACCCUAAUAAUUCCUAAAUCCUAAGUCAAAUCCUAAACAAAUCUUAAAUUAAAUCCUAUUUCAAACCCUAAAUCAAACCCUAAACCAAACCCUAAUCCAACCUUAAACUCUAAUCCAAAUCCUAAAUUCUAAACCAAACCUUAAAUCAAACCCUAACCAAACCCUAGUCCAAACUCUAAUCCAAAUCCUAAUCCAAAUCCUAAUCCAAAUCCUAAACUCUAAACCAAACCUUAAAUCAAACCCUAAUCAAAUCCUAAUCCAAACCCUGAAUCAAAUCAUAACCAAACCCUAAAUCCUAAUCCAAACCCUAAAUCAAAUCAUAACCAAACCCUAAACCCUAAUCCAAACCCUAAUCCAAACCCUA